This is a long non-coding RNA of Rhodamnia argentea, 413 nucleotides long. RefSeq lists it as uncharacterized. The transcript is spliced from 2 exons. The record is from RefSeq and is a predicted model, not a curated record. NCBI's taxonomy places the organism in Eukaryota, Viridiplantae, Streptophyta, Magnoliopsida, Myrtales, Myrtaceae.
GGAGCUUUGAAGACAUCGCAGAAUCAAACAUAAAGAUUUCAGAAAACUUUCAGGGAAAAAUGGAAACUGGAGUCUUGGAAAGCAGCUCAUCCAACCUUAGUUUUGAUGGUUCAUAUGAUUUGGCUGCUUAUAUGAGAACUAUCAGGUUGAUCAUGUGAUCUGUAAUAGAUGAUUUGGAAGAAGUUUGGCCAUUCAAACACGGCUUUAGUUUCACAUGCCGUGUCCAGAAAGUGUCAUAAGUUCGUUUAGUAUUUACUAGAACUAGCAAGACUACUAACCCCAGUGAGUAAAACUAAAAGAUGUCGAAAACAGAAUGGGUACCGCAUCAUAUUAGAUUCAUGUACGGCCAUCAUGUUUCGAAUUGCGUUUGGUUGCUUAAGCUAUGAUGAAAUUGAACUGCUUGGCUUAGCUGU